RNAcentral lists this ribosomal RNA (400 nucleotides) under uncultured bacterium. RNAcentral's name for it is "bacterial SSU rRNA". It matches the Rfam family "Bacterial small subunit ribosomal RNA", at positions 355 to 747 of the family's 1533-position model. The record is from RNAcentral.
UGGGGAAUAUUGGACAAUGGGGGCAACCCUGAUCCAGCAAUGCCGCGUGUGUGAAGAAGGCCUUCGGGUUGUAAAGCACUUUAGGUUGGGAAGAAGGUGGUUAUUUUAAGAGAUAGAUCACUUGACGGUACCGACAGAAUAAGCACCGGCUAACUCUGUGCCAGCAGCCGCGGUAAUACAGAGGGUGCAAGCGUUAAUCGGAGUUACUGGGCGUAAAGGGCGCGUAGGUGGUUGUAUAAGUUGUUUGUGAAAUCCCCGGGCUUAACCUGGGAACUGCAAGCAAAACUGUAUAGCUUGAGUACUGUAGAGGGUAGUGGAAUUUCCGGUGUAGCGGUGAAAUGCGUAGAGAUCGGAAGGAACAUCAGUGGCGAAGGCGGCUACCUGGACAGAUACUGACACU